GGAAGCUACUGCUAAGGGUUUAGCAACCUGUCUCGAAAACAGGAGUGCGAUUGCGUCGUAGGGGUUCAACUCCUCUAGCUUCCG
RNAcentral lists this small RNA (84 nucleotides) under Alkalinema sp. FACHB-956. RNAcentral describes it as "tRNA-Ser". It matches the Rfam family "Selenocysteine transfer RNA". Lineage: Bacteria; Bacillati; Cyanobacteriota; Cyanophyceae; Leptolyngbyales; Leptolyngbyaceae. The record is from RNAcentral.